RNAcentral lists this long non-coding RNA (2237 nucleotides) under Homo sapiens (human). Its description in RNAcentral is "non-protein coding lnc-AKT1-5:2". Lineage: Eukaryota; Metazoa; Chordata; Mammalia; Primates; Hominidae. The record is from RNAcentral.
UUUUUGAGAUGGAGUCUUGCUCUGUCGCCCAGGCUAGAGUGCAGUGGUAUGAUCUCAGCUUACUGCAACCUCUGCCUCCCGGGUUCAAACGAUUCUCCUGCCUCAGCCUCCUGAGUACCUGGGAUUACAGGCGCGCAUCACCAUGCCCAGCUAAUUUUUGUAUUUUUAGUAGAGACACUGUUUCGCCAUGUUGGCUAGGCUGGUCUCGAACUCCUGACCUCAGGUGAUCCACCUGUCUCAGCCUCCCAAAGUGCUGGGAUUACAGGAGUGAACCACCAUGCCCAGCCUAAAGACAUCUUUUAAUAGGUUAAAUAAUAGAAAGUCCUUUUAGGAAAUGCCACUGCUCUCUGUCCCCUGUGCUCCGUGACUUGCCCACCUGCCUGGGGUGUGGGUGGGAGGCUGGCCCGGACCCCUGCCUGGAGGCCUCCGUGUCCUCAGCCCCAGCUGCGUGCAUUUCUUCAUGCGUCCCCUGCACACAGGAUGCACCGUACCACGUGCCCGGCUGUGGGCUGCGUGUGUGGUAGGGAUGUGCAGGUCCCCGGGUGGCGAGGGGGGUUCUGAGUUCCCGGGAGGACAUGGACAGGGAAGGAGAUGCAGGAGAGACACACACAGGGCCUGUGGGGAUUCCAGGGCCAGAGCUGUCAAGCUCGGCGGCUGGAGCUGAAGAUGGGGCGGGCUGUGCGGCGCUGGUGACGGGCACCGUGGCCUGGCUGGGGUGCUCAGGUACCAGCUGCUUCUCCUGGCUGGGUCUGGCUCGGUCUCAGCACGUGGCCAAGCCGGCAGCACAAGCACAGGCCUUGGUCUUGGCUGGGAGCAGGGCUGGCCCUGCCAGGCACCAGAUCAGAGCCAGGAGCGCGCUGGCAAGCCCCGCGGGACAUAUUGUGCAUCAGCUACCACGGCAGCCCUUCCCAGACGGGCCUCUGCUCGCCUGGGGAGAUGGUGGCAGAAUGCGGAGGUGCCCAGCCCUGGCCACUGCCCCACCCCUGCACUCUGACCUGCCAGUCCCAGAAAUGUCCUCUCAGAGCCCUGGAGUCAGCGGGCGCUUUCUGGGGAGCUUUGCCUUCUCCCCUCUCCCCAUCUGUCCCUGACUAUUGGAGUCAGUGCUUGUGUUUGAGCCCCCGAAUCAAAUAGCUUUGCAAUUUGUCAAAUUAUGCAGAAGAGACAGAGGAGAGGAAAGGGAAGUAGUUUGGUUCUAUUAUGUGGAAAUUAGCUUUGAAACAGAGGCCGUUUGCCUGUUAGAGCAAUUUCUCUCCAUUUAUUUCUAGAGAAAAUUGCCUGUGUGGCUCACAUCCUCAUCUGGUGGGGCUGGCUGUCUCCCAGGCCACUAGGCAUGGGGGCUGGAGGCCUGCACCAGCCCUGAGGGCGUCUCCAUCCUGGCCAGGGAAUGGAAGGGAGACCAGGAGGCUUCAUGCUGCUGCCCCUGGCCCUGGGGCAGGAGGGGAGGGGGCAGGCUCCGGCUCACUGCCCAGCCCCCAUCUACCUCUGAGACAUGUCUUGGUGGCUCUUGGAAGGCCAGGUCCCCAGCUCCCUAGAGGAUGGGCCUGGCCAAGCCUCCUGGAUGGGGGUGGGAGGCCCUGCCUGAGCCUGACCUUGGCGGGAGAGUGCUGCAGGUGAUGCUGGGAUGGGUGGGAGGGGACUCCAGGAGGAGGGACCAGCUGAAGGCACCACAAGGCCCUGUGUUUGGGAAAGGGCAGAAGUCAGGCAAGACCUAGAAGUGGCAAUCCCAACUGCAUUUUCUAUCCUUCCAGGUGGAGCUGCCACCUGUCUGCAGAUCCCAGCCCGGCCAGCCAGCUCUACUGCAGGGCGCACUGGGGUGUCUCGGGGAGACUGGCAGAGUGAUGGCUGCAGGCUGCUGCCCUUCACGGAGCCUCCUGUGGCCACACUCGUGGGGUGCCCGUAUCUGCUGCCUGGGGGUCCCUGCACGAGCCCUCUGGGAGGCAUGCGGGCUCCAGGGUUCCAGUGGGGAGCUUGUAGUGUGGUGAGGGGGGACCUGCUAGGGCCAUGCACCACUGGAGGGCAGCAGCCCCCCACCCCUGCAACCCUGUCUGCUGCUCCGGAGCUCCGAGCAAAGUGUACACCUGGGCAUCCUGAAGGAGACUCAAAGCCAGGACGCUCGGGUGGGGUCUGAGUGCAACAUCACACUUGGCCGUGGCUGAGGGGAGAGGGCAGCCCUUUUGUGCUAUUAUCAUAUUGUUUUGGGGAAAUUGCUUUUUAUGAAAUAAAUUUUACAUAAAGUG